GUCCAGGAUAGCCUAGUGGACAUGGCAUCUGCCCGGUAAGCGGAACACUGGGUUCGAUUCUUAUCCCUGGACA
This 73-nucleotide transfer RNA is filed under the name Cordylochernes scorpioides. RNAcentral describes it as "tRNA-Thr". Lineage: Eukaryota; Metazoa; Arthropoda; Arachnida; Pseudoscorpiones; Chernetidae. The record is from RNAcentral.